UGCUGAAUUAUUCGCCAAUGCGCGAAAGCGUGACGGUGCGACGCCGCGUGCGGGACGAAGGCCUUCGGGUUGUAAACCGCUGUCAGGGUAUAGAAAACCGAUUCGGUUAAUAGCCGGGUCGCUGAUCAUACCCAAAGGAAGCACAGGCUAAUCUCGUGCCAGCAGCCGCGGUAAUACGAGAUGUGCGAGCGUUGUUCGGAAUCACUGGGCAUAAAGGGUGCGUAGGCGGUGCACCAAGUCGGGUGUGAAAUCCCUCGGCUUAACCGAGGAACUGCAUUCGAUACUAGUGUGCUAGAGGGUAAAAGGGGCAAGCGGAAUUCUAGGUGUAGCGGUGGAAUGCGUAGAUAUCUGGGAGAACGCCGAGGGCGAAGGCAGCUUGCUGGGUUACUUCUGACGCUGAGGCACGAAAGCUAGGGGAGCAAACA
This 425-nucleotide ribosomal RNA is filed under the name uncultured bacterium. RNAcentral describes it as "partial 16S ribosomal RNA". It matches the Rfam family "Bacterial small subunit ribosomal RNA", at positions 355 to 774 of the family's 1533-position model. The record is from RNAcentral.